UACGGAGGGUGCAAGCGUUGUCCGGAAUCACUGGGCGUAAAGGGCGCGUAGGCGGCCCGGUAAGUAGGGGGUGAAAUCCUGCGGCUUAACCGCAGGGCUGCCUUCUAAACUGUCGGGCUCGAGCACGGUAGAGGCAGAUGGAAUUCCCGGUGUAGCGGUGGAAUGCGUAGAUAUGACUCGGAAGGCCAACGGCGAAGGCAGGUUACUGGUACGCAACUGACGCUGAGGCACGAAAGCGUGGGGAGCAAACAGG
Molecule: ribosomal RNA, 253 nt
Filed under: uncultured bacterium
Lineage: Bacteria
Description: partial 16S ribosomal RNA
Rfam family: Bacterial small subunit ribosomal RNA
Source: RNAcentral